Molecule: long non-coding RNA, 375 nt
Filed under: Populus trichocarpa (black cottonwood)
Lineage: Eukaryota; Viridiplantae; Streptophyta; Magnoliopsida; Malpighiales; Salicaceae
Description: long non-coding RNA (PTRI_LNC000499)
Source: RNAcentral
UUUGCUGUUGCUGCUGUUGGCUUACUGGUUAAUAUUGGCAUGGCAUUCUUGUUGGGUCACGACCAUGGUCACGGGCACGGUCAUGGUCACGGGCACGGUCAUGGGCACGGUCACGAGCAUGGUGAGCACAAUCAUGACCACAGUGAUGAUGGCCAUAGCCAUGAGGGUGAUGAUGGCCAUAGCCAUGAGGGUGAUGAUGGCCAUAGCCAUGAGGAUCAUGAUCAUAGCCAUGAGGAUCAUGAUCAUGCACAUAACCACAUGCUGAGUGGAGCCACUCAUCAUAAUCACCACCAUCAUGAAGGGAGCUCUGAAAACAAUGAUGAACAUCAUCAUACACACGGAGCAGAUCUUGCUGAGCCUCUGCUUAGUACUCAC